GAUAAACGCUGGCGGCGUGCCUAAAACAUGCAAGUCGAACGGUCAUCUUUCGGGGUGGCAGUGGCGGACGGCUGAGUAACACGUGGGUGACCUGCCCUCGAGCGGGGGAUAACUGCCCGAAAGGGUGGCUAAUACCGCAGACAUCGGUGAGUCGGAUUGCCGAUUGAACUUGAGGGGCUCGGGGAGGGGCCCGCGGUCGAUUAGCUAGCUGGUGGGGUAACGGCCUACCAGGGCGACGAUCGAUAGCUGGUCUGAGAGGAUGAUCAGCCAGACUGGGACUGCGAACGGCCCAGACUCCUACGGGAGGCAGCAGUUAGGAAUUUUGGGCAAUGGGCGGAAGCCUGACCCAGCAACGCCGCGUGGGUGAUGAAGGCCCUCGGGUCGUAAAGCCCUUUUCCCAGGGAAGAUGGUGACGGUACCUGGGGAAUCAGCCCCGGCUAACUACGUGCCAGCCGCCGCGGUAACAC
Molecule: ribosomal RNA, 467 nt
Filed under: uncultured bacterium
Lineage: Bacteria
Description: bacterial SSU rRNA
Rfam family: Bacterial small subunit ribosomal RNA
Source: RNAcentral